GACCCGCGGCUGUCCGGAAGCCAGAAUCUUCUCACUGCCCUGUGUCGCUCCCGCAAGACCCACCAGAGGACCCUCAUGGUGCGGGAGGGGGUCCUGGUGGGGGCCAGGGGCCAGGGUGGAGACUUGGCAGUGUGGGUGGGUGAGGUGCCCCCACAGACGAGUUUGCCCUGAGCAUUCCUGGAAGUGGUAGCCUUAGUCUCAAGAAGAGCGACGGGAUGCCGACUCCCACGCAGAGACAGAUCCAGUUUCACUCUUGUUGCCCACGCUGGAGUCCAAUGGUGCGAUCUCAGCUCACUGCAACCUCCACUUCCCGGGUACAAGCAAUUCUCCUGCCUCAGUCUCCCAGAUUACAGGCACAUGCCACCAAACCCAGCUAAUUUUUCUUGUUUUGUGUUUGUUUUUGUUUUGGGACAGAGUUUCACUCUUGUUGAACAUCUCCGUUUUAAAUGUAUUGUUUUCCUAAUUUUGGUUGCGUUGUCUGUGUUCUGCUGUAGCUUGCUAUGCUCCCUUAAAACAAUUAUUUUGAAUUCCUUGUCAGGAAAUAUUUAGAUCUCCACUUCUUUGGGGUUGGUUACUGUAAAAUUAUUGUGUUCCUUUCAUGGUGUCAUGCUUCCUCAGUUUUCAUGUUGCUUAAAGUGCUACAUUACUGUCUUUGUAUUUACUUGGAGAAGUCACUUCUUCCUGUCUUUGAUAACUGGCUUUGAGAGGAAAACACCUUCACCAGUUAACCAGGCUCAGGGAUUCUGAGGCUAUCUUGUACUUUUUCUAUGGAUGCACCCACUCCGCUCCUCUUGUUCGCUCUUGGGAUGGGGGGGAUUCUUAAGAUGGUAUACCUUCUGUUAAUACUGCAAAGCCAGGCCAAGCACGGAGAGUCUCCCAUUUGUUUUCCUUAGGGGCAGUGCCCUGAAAUGCUCAUUUGUGUACCUUCUCCCAAUCCUACGGUAUCAAGCCUGUUGAGUGCAUGUGCUUGCAAACCAUCUGUAAAGCCCUACACUUGCUGUCCAGGGUACACCUAGAGAGGUCCAGCCAUGGGGUGGUGAAAGGGGUGAAGCACAUAGAGUAUUCGAGGUGCCCAUGGGCCAGCUGGGGAGUCUACAGGUAAGGCAUCCCAAGCAGCUUGUGAGCAGGCCUUUGAUGGAAUCUGUGAAGCAGCUAGUAAGGUAUGUGGCCCUUUGUUGAGUUUUAUACUGUGAUUGCUGUGAGUCUCUUGCCUUUGUUCCUUCCUCCACAUUCUCCCAGCUACUCGUUCAUGUGCAUCCCUUCAGUAUUCUGGGUGGAAUGAAGAAAAGGGAGGACUCUUAGGAAGCAUCCUGCACAGCUGGGGAAGCUGAGUGUUCACUCAUUAUACUUUUACAUUUCCCUGUGGGAGUUACUGUGGGCUGAGGGGGUCUGUCGUGUCACUGACCUGUACCACCUACGGACAGGGGUGAUGUAGUGAAACUGUUCUUUUUAUUUUCUUCAAUGUUCCUAUGUUUAGAUUUUUUGCUCCAAUGGUGUUCUAGAAUUUCUUCCCUGGACUCCCAGAAAGGUAUAUUAAUCCAUGGAUAGUUGUCAAAACCAGGGCACUGUGGAGGAGAUGAGAUGAAUAGCAGUAGGAAACUCCUAUUCCACCAUCUGGGUCUCUCUGCCUUCUUCAUAUUUACUGUUAUAGACUGAUCUCUCCAGUUGGAAAACUCCUGGAGGACUGAACACUUUCUCAAGUACCACCUGAGUGGACAAAACAUCAACUACUUUUCCUCUGCUCUCAUACCACAGUCAACACAGAAGACUUCCAUGAAAUGUAUGGAAACUUAUCCCUACCAAUAGGCAAGUGAUCAGUUCUACAUUCAACAGCUUAUGGGUGUCCUCCAAUUCAAUUUCGCCACUACCACCCUGGAGACAGCAUCAGAUCACACAGAUUAAGGGCUCAGUCCCACGAGACUUCCUGUCACUUUUGACGCCAAUCACAAGCACCAGGAUGUUUUACCCAUGCUUCUGACCUACUGGCUAUAAAUGGGGGUUCCCAUGGCUUCCUCCUUGGGGUUGAUUAAUUUUCUACAGUGGCUCACAGAACUCAGGGAAACACAUUUAUGCUUACCAGUCUAUUGUAAAGGAUAUUACAAAGGAUACAGAUGAAAUGUUGCACAGGAAAAGAUAAGGGGGAAAAGGGACAAAGCUUCCAUGCCCUCCAAGGACGCACUGCCUUGCAGGAACCUCCACAUGUUUGGCUCCCCAGAAACUCUCUAAACCCUGUCCUUUGUGGUUGGUAUGGAAGCUUCAUUAUGUAGGCAUGAUUGAUGAGACCAUCGACCCACUGGUGAUCAGUUUAAUUUUCAGCCCUUUUCACCUCCUGGGAGGUGGAGCUGAAUGUGCCAAUCUUCUAAUCCUUCUGGGUCUCUUCAGUGAUCAGCACCCAUCCUGUGAAGCCACAUAUGAGCUGCCAGUCAUAAGUCAACUCAUUAGCAUACAAAAAGAUAACACUUCGAAGAGUCUAAGGAUUUUAGGAGUUGCAUGCCAGCAAAUGGGACAAAGACCAACUGUAUAUUACACCCUCCCAACCAUGGCACCCUCCCAACAUGGCACCCAGCAUAUUCCUGAACACAUAGGAAAUACCUGAUAGAUACUCGUUGACUGAAAAAAGAAGCUGAGUCAUCCACAGAGAGAGGUGAGUUGCAGCCGGAUGCGAUGGCUCAUGCCUGUAAUCCCAGCACUUUGGGAGGCUGAGGCAGGUGGAUCACCUGAGGUCGGGAGUUCGAGACCAGCCUGACCAACAUGGAGAAACCCCAUCUCUACUAAAAAUACAAAAGUAGCCAAGCAUGGUGGGGCAUGCCUGUAAUCCUAGCUACUCAGGAGGCUGAGGCAAGAGAAUCACUUGAACCCCGGAGGCGGAGGUUGCGGUGAGCUGAAAUCAAGCCAUUGCACUCCAGCCUGGGCAACAGGAGGAAAACGCCAUCUCAAAAAAAAAAAAAAAAAAAA
Macaca fascicularis (crab-eating macaque) is the source of this 2955-nucleotide long non-coding RNA. The record is from Ensembl. NCBI's taxonomy places the organism in Eukaryota, Metazoa, Chordata, Mammalia, Primates, Cercopithecidae.